GACGAACGCUGGCGGCGUGCUUAACACAUGCAAGUCGAACGCUGAAGCUUGGUGCUUGCACUGGGUGGAUGAGUGGCGAACGGGUGAGUAAUACGUGAGUAACCUGCCCUUGACUCUGGGAUAAGCCUGGGAAACUGGGUCUAAUACUGGAUACGACAUGUCACCGCAUGGUGGCGUGUGGAAAGGGUUUUACUGGUUUUGGAUGGGCUCACGGCCUAUCAGCUUGUUGGUGGGGUAAUGGCUCACCAAGGCGACGACGGGUAGCCGGCCUGAGAGGGUGACCGGCCACACUGGGACUGAGACACGGCCCAGACUCCUACGGGAGGCAGCAGUGGGGUAUAUUGCACAAUGGGCGAAAGCCUGAUGCAGCGACGCCGCGUGAGGGAUGACGGCCUUCGGGUUGUAAACCUCUUUCAGCACGGAAGAAGCGAAAGUGACGGUACGUGCAGAAGAAGCGCCGGCUAACUACGUG
RNAcentral lists this ribosomal RNA (472 nucleotides) under uncultured bacterium. RNAcentral's name for it is "partial 16S ribosomal RNA". It matches the Rfam family "Bacterial small subunit ribosomal RNA", at positions 28 to 507 of the family's 1533-position model. The record is from RNAcentral.